This 253-nucleotide ribosomal RNA is filed under the name uncultured bacterium. RNAcentral's name for it is "partial 16S ribosomal RNA". It matches the Rfam family "Bacterial small subunit ribosomal RNA", at positions 524 to 776 of the family's 1533-position model. The record is from RNAcentral.
AACGUAGGAGACAAACGUUAUCCGGAGUUACUGGGCGUAAAGGGCGUGUAGGCGGUUUGUUAAGUCAGGGGUGAAAUGCCAAGGCUCAACCUUGGAACUGCCUUUGAUACUGGAGACCUUGAGUCCGGGAGAGGUGAGUGGAAUUGCGAGUGUAGAGGUGAAAUUCGUAGAUAUUCGCAAGAACACCAGUGGCGAAGGCGGCUCACUGGCCCGGAACUGACGCUGAGACGCGAAAGCGUGGGGAGCGAACAGG